CAGUCGCCGCGGUAAUACGUAGGUGGCAAGCGUUGUCCGGAAUUAUUGGGCGUAAAGGGCUCGCAGGCGGUUUCUUAAGUCUGAUGUGAAAGCCCCCGGCUCAACCGGGGAGGGUCAUUGGAAACUGGAAACUUGAGUGCAGAAGAGGAGAGUGGAAUUCCACGUGUAGCGGUGAAAUGCGUAGAGAUGUGGAGGAACACCAGUGGCGAAGGCGACUCUCUGGUCUGUAACUGACACUGAGAGACGAAAGCUAGGGGAGCAAAUGGGAUUAGAUACCCCUGUAGUCCCUGUCUCUUAUACA
Molecule: ribosomal RNA, 301 nt
Filed under: uncultured bacterium
Lineage: Bacteria
Description: partial 16S ribosomal RNA
Rfam family: Bacterial small subunit ribosomal RNA
Source: RNAcentral